This 338-nucleotide long non-coding RNA is filed under the name Setaria italica (foxtail millet). RNAcentral's name for it is "long non-coding RNA (SITA_LNC005039)". Lineage: Eukaryota; Viridiplantae; Streptophyta; Magnoliopsida; Poales; Poaceae. The record is from RNAcentral.
GGAAGAAUCAAGGAUUGAAAAGGGGUUCAUAGAGCUGAAUCACCUCUCAAUGGAAAUGAAAGAGGAUAGCAAGAUAAUUGCCCUCCAACAGGUGCUAGUCGUAACGAAAUGUCCUAAAACAGGUGCUAAUUAUUCACUACACCAACACAGGUAUUUAAAGCAUGGCAAGCACAGAUUCACCAACACAGGUAUUUAAAGCACGGCAAGCGCAGAUUCAUGAACUGGCUUCUCGUGUCACAACUGACAAAGUAACCAUUGGAAAUAAAUCAAAUAAAUUUAGUUCAGCAUAAUUAUUCAGGAAUCCAACUGUUUCAUAACAUCGAGAGUCAGUAUUGGAU